GUGGGCGUAGCUCAGUUGGUAGAGCCCCUGGUUGUGAUCCAGGUGGUCGCGGGUUCAAGUCCCGUCGCUCACC
RNAcentral lists this transfer RNA (73 nucleotides) under Actinomycetota bacterium. RNAcentral's name for it is "tRNA-His". It matches the Rfam family "tRNA". From Rfam's summary of the family: Transfer RNA (tRNA) molecules are approximately 80 nucleotides in length. Their secondary structure includes four short double-helical elements and three loops (D, anti-codon, and T loops). Lineage: Bacteria; Bacillati; Actinomycetota. The record is from RNAcentral.